GUUCAUCUGUUGCAUUGAAGGAUAAUACUUUCUUAUGGAUAAAUCUUGGAUUAGAAAGCGAAGGAACACCACUGAAUAUUUGUUUGGUUUAAAUCAGUUUUUAGAUUUUGCAUUUGCUAAUGCUAUUGUAGGACAUAGAAUAAAAUGUCCUUGUCCAAAAUGUGGAUUCGCAAAGUAGCAGACUAGAGAUGUAGUGCUUGAUCAUUUGAUUUGCAAACCAUUCCCUCAAAAUUAUGUCACUUGGAGUAUUCAUGGUGAAAGGAAUGUGUUGGCUAAUUCUAAAAAUAUUGAGGUUAUACAAAAUACAUUACCUCCUGAGAAUCCUGUAGAAUUAUUGAUCAAUGAAGUAUUUGGGGGCCUAAGGUAAGAUGGGGUUGAUGUAGGUCCAUUAUAAGUAGUGGGUGGUGAAGAAUGGUUAAAUGGUGAGCCUGCUUCAAAUGACAAAGACUUUUUCGAGUUGCUUAGAUAUAGAAGUCAAGAAUUGUAUGAAGGGUCCAAUUACUCAAAACUAGAAUUUUUAUUAAAAUUAUAUCACAUAAGUAUUUGUCUGGUCUAAGUGACAAGGGUCUUAGACCAGGGAAUGACCAUGAUACUAGAUUUGUUGAGGGACGCAUUUACAUUUUCAAGGAUCCCUGAUUCUUAUUAUGAAGCCAAGAAAACCAUUAGUAAGCUUUGUCUUGAUUAUAUCAAGAUAGAUGCUUGUCCAAAUGAUUGUAUGUUAUUUUUGGGAAAUGAUGCUAAUGAGAAAACAUGUAAGUAUUGUCACACUUCUAGGUGGAAGCCUAUCAAGAAGAGAAAUGAAGAUCUUGUGUCUGCUACAGGUAAGGAGAAAAUCAAAAAGAAAACCAAGAAGCCUGCAAAGAUUUUGCGUUACUUUCCAUUAAAACCAAGGUUGCAGAGAUUGUUCAUGUGCUCUAAAAUAGCAAAACAUAUGAGAUGGCAUGCUGAGGAUGGUGACAGAGAUGGAGUCACGAGGCAUCCUAGAGAUGGUGAGGCAUGGAAGAGGUUUGAUACAACUUUUUCUGAAUUUGCUUUUGAUCCUCGAAAUGUUCGGCUAGGCCUAGCUAGUGAUGGCUUCAAUCCUUUUGGCAUGAUGAAUACUAAUUAUAGCGUUUGGCCAGUUGUUUUAGUUCCAUACAACCUUCCUCCUUGGUUGUGUAUGAAACAACCAAAUUUUAUUCUCUCAAUGAUCAUUCCUGGUCCACGUACAGCGGGAAAUAACAUAGAUGUUUACCUACAACUCCUUAUUAAGGAGUUGAAUGAGUUGUGGAGUGAGGUUGUCGAAACUUUUGAUUCAUCAAAGAAAGAGAUGUUUAGAUUGCGAGCAACUCUUAUGUGGAUAAUUAAUGACUCUCCUGGACUCAAUAUCUUAUUUGGUUAGAACUCACAUACUGGUUUAGCAUGUCCCACUUGUAAUUUUGAUGUAGAACCUUGUCGGCUUCACCAUAGUAGAAAGUGGUGCUUUAUUGGCCAUCGUAGAUUUUUAGCAAGAAAUCAUAAAUUUAGAUUGAUGAGGCAUCGCUUAUGUUGAGGAAAGAAAUCCACCAAAAAAGUUAUCCGGAUCUGAUAUUUUACAACAAGUGAAAGAUAUUGAUGUUACAUUUGGAAAACCGGCUGAGUAGACUGAGAGAAGGAAAAGAUCAAGAUAAAGAAAUAUUGGGCAAGGUGCAGCGCAACAAUGGAGGAAAAAAGCAUAUUCUUUAAUCUUCCAUAUUGGGAAUUCAAUUCGUUGCGCCACAAUUUAGACGUCAUACACAUCGAAAAGAAUAUGUUUGACAAUAUUAUAUAUUCAUUGCUCAAUGAUAAAGACAAAUCAAAAGACAAUAUUAAGGCAAGAAAAGAUUUACAAGAUAUGGGUAUAAGGUGUGAUCUUUGACCUGAUGAGAAUGAUAAUUGUUGGCUUGCUGUGUUUACCAUUCCAAGGGAAAAGAAAGUGGCCUUCCUCACAACUUUAAAGAAUAUUUCAGUGCCAUAUGGUUACUCGAGUAAUAUUUCUCAUUGCAUUGAUCCGUACCAAAGGAGAAUCUUUGGAUUAAAGAGUCAUGAUUGUCGCAUUAUUAUAGAACAAUUGCUACCAAUAGCAAUUCACAAUGUGCUGCCAAAAGAGGUUGUUGCAGUCUUGUGGUGGAGUUUGAUUACUUGGAUCCGAUUGGCGAAGCACAAGGCCUUCUUGCAGGCGUAUGUGGACUUUUAGCAACUGACUGUACCAUAUUUUCAAUUGGCUUUGAUAAAUGGUCGGAUAUGCCUAAGUCAUACUUUAACAACCGCUUUAAUAACGUUAUAAAGGUAUUACUCGGGAUCAAUGGACUUCCUUUGUGAACUACCGUUAUAAAGAAGAAACUCAGAACAUGUGUAAAAGAAAUGCUGAAAAUCGGAAGAAACAAACAGUUCCACACACCGGUGGCUCCAAACCUAAUUCUAGAAGAAGGGCUGAAAUGAUGGCUGAGACGGGGAGUAAGCCUAGACGAGCACAACUUUAUCUUGCUAUACAUACGAAAAAAGAUGCAUCAUAUGUAAAUGAGCAGGCAAAAGAAAUAUGUGUAAGUUACAAUAUAAGACCAUUACACCUGCAUCAUUGUGUUUGUUUCAACCUUUAUGUCAUGAUGUUUUGGUCUAGUCUAUUGAACGACUCUUAGUAAUGAUUCUAUUUCAUGUUCUCAUGCUGACUUGUUUGCCUAAAUGACUCUAGUCGACAGUCUUGUUCAUGAUACUAUGUUGCUCUGAACAGCUAAGAUAGAAUGAUCUAUGUGUGACUAUCAUGAAAACUAGAAUAAAAGGAAUCAUAUGGUGAACUUUGUUGAUAAAAGGAAUCCCAGUGACCACCAGUGUUCUUCUUCUAUUGUUAAGCACAUCAAAGCACCAGUUGAUAUUGUAAAUAUCAUCUCUUUAUUCCUAAUAUGUCUGUAAAAGUUGUGAAUUUUUGUUCGCUUUUGAUGUUUUAAUCUCUAGUCUUUUUUCCUCUUAUUCUCUUGAAUUCUGGUUAAUCUUGCUUUUGGAAUAUGUUAAAGAGUCUUUUCUCUUCAUUUUGUUUUGGGUUCUUUAGGAUUUCAAGCUGAUAUCUUUUGUUUAAUCUUCUCCAAUAGCAAUGGCAAAGAAGUUGUUAUCCACAAAUUUCUUAGACAGAUAAAUUGAUUUUUGUUUGUUCAUAUUGACUCUUACUGUGUUGUAAAGUUGCCUUGUGCCCGGUCCAUGAUAAAUGCAUGGAAAUGAUCUACUAAUAAACUGGCCCUGUGUUUUAUUUAAUUUGGUGUAGUUAUAAUUUAUUGAACAUGACAAAAACAUGUGAAGGAAAGUGUGGUAGUCGUGGGGCAAAGUGGGAAAAGAGAGUUUUCAACGAGGAGAAAGUGAUAACAACGUUUUGAAUAUAGGGUGGGUGCGUAGCCUUUAACUGUGUUGUGGACCUUUGGAUAUGUCUCAACAAUUACUACAUACAUGCUUACCAUUAAUAAUGUGUUUUUCAUUUUCUUCUUUAGUUACUUUUUUUCUAACUUUCACAUUUGAAACCUGAAAUUUAAUAUAGUAAUAGGGUACGAGGGUAAUUGUCAGAUUAAUAGUGUCGGCAAUAGCAGUAGCGACCUUUCUUUUUCAGGUUACUCAUUCAGACUAUAAAAUAUACAGUUAUAAGGUUGGCUCGAAUUUUUUUUAUGUGUAUUGUGUUUAGGAAAAAAUUGAGCUAGCAGUGAGUGAAAGUACAGUGGAUGAGUCUGAAAUUUCUCCAAAUGAUGUUGUUGGUAAGGUGCUAGGCAAAGAGCAUCCUGGAAGGGUGAGAUGUUUGGGAUUAGGAGUUACUCCAAGCAAUACUUUCAAAGAGACAAAUCUUUGUCUUGGUAAUAUUAGAAUUGUGAGUAAUAAUGUUGGAUGUUCUUCUUCUUGAUGCCAAGAGAAGUACAAUCAAUUGAUGAAUACUCUCAAAGCAUACAUGAUAAUGAAGGAAGGGCCAAUACUAGAACAAUUUGCUGGGAUAUUUGCUUCUCCUACAACGUCAAGUUAUGCAGUUAGUGGACUCGUUUCACCGACGAAUACAAGAAGAUCUUCUGGCGCUAGUAAUCCCAGUGACAACCAUUGAGAUUCAUUUUAAUUGAAGUGGAUGUAUUAGGAUAAUAUAAUAGCUAACUAAUAUAAACGGUUAACUAUGUUCUAAUUUAGCUUGAUGACAUAUGAUACUACUUUGUCAUAGUAUUUUUCACAGUUAAUGAAAUGUUGAUGUUUCUUAAUUUUAA
Nicotiana tabacum (common tobacco) is the source of this 4220-nucleotide non-coding RNA. The record is from RefSeq and is a predicted model, not a curated record. Lineage: Eukaryota; Viridiplantae; Streptophyta; Magnoliopsida; Solanales; Solanaceae.